GAUGAAGAACGCAGCGAAACGCGAUAUGUAAUGUGAAUUGCAGAAUUCAGUGAAUCAUCGAGUCUUUGAACGCACAUUGCGCCCCCUGGUAUUCCGGGGGGCAUGCCUGUCCGAGCGUCAUUGCUGCCCUCAAGCACGGCUUGUGUGUUGGGCCCCGUCCUCCGAUCCCGGGGGACGGGCCCGAAAGGCAGCGGCGGCACCGCGUCCGGUCCUCGAGCGUAUGGGGCUUUGUCACCCGCUCUGUAGGCCCGGCCGGCGCUUGCCGAUCAACCCAAAUUUUUAUCCAGGUUGACCUCGGAUCAGGUAGGGAUACCCGCUGAACUUAAGCAUAUCAAUAAGCGGAGGA
RNAcentral lists this unclassified non-coding RNA (346 nucleotides) under soil metagenome. RNAcentral describes it as "partial contains 5.8S ribosomal RNA, internal transcribed spacer 2, and large subunit ribosomal RNA". The stretch from base 1 to 120 matches the Rfam family "5.8S ribosomal RNA", at positions 35 to 154 of the family's 154-position model. The record is from RNAcentral.